Molecule: ribosomal RNA, 301 nt
Filed under: uncultured bacterium
Lineage: Bacteria
Description: partial 16S ribosomal RNA
Rfam family: Bacterial small subunit ribosomal RNA
Source: RNAcentral
CAGUCGCCGCGGUAAUGCGAAGGGGGCUAGCGUUGCUCGGAAUCACUGGGCGUAAAGGGUGCGUAGGCGGGUCUUUAAGUCAGGGGUGAAAUCCUGGAGCUCAACUCCAGAACUGCCUUUGAUACUGAAGAUCUUGAGUUCGGGAGAGGUGAGUGGAACUGCGAGUGUAGAGGUGAAAUUCGUAGAUAUUCGCAAGAACACCAGUGGCGAAGGCGGCUCACUGGCCCGAUACUGACGCUGAGGCACGAAAGCGUGGGGAGCAAACAGGAUUAGAUACCCGAGUAGUCCCUGUCUCUUAUAC